RNAcentral lists this unclassified non-coding RNA (1594 nucleotides) under Apis dorsata (giant honeybee). RNAcentral describes it as "aldehyde dehydrogenase family 3 member B1, transcript variant X8". The record is from RNAcentral. Lineage: Eukaryota; Metazoa; Arthropoda; Insecta; Hymenoptera; Apidae.
UAAAAAAAAUAAAAAAUGACGGAAGUGAAAAUCGAAGUGGGAGAUUUAGAGGAACAACAAAUCUCUCCGAAAGAACAAAACAUGAAGUCAGAAGCAUGUCAAAUCGAUAUAGAAUCGCAAUUAGAUGAUCCCACAAUGGCAGAAUCUAAUGAAAAAAUGAUAAUGGAUUAUGCAAGUCUUGUUGAACGUACACGAAAUGUAUUUAUUAAUGGUAAAACAAGAUCAUUAAAAUGGAAACAAACACAAUUAAAACAAUCACUACUUAUGAUACAAGAAUGUAAACAAGAAAUUAUAUCUGCUCUUGCUUCUGAUUUACGCAAGUCUAAAUUUGAAUCUGUUAUUAUGGAAAUAAAUAUUGUUGAAGGAGAAAUCAAACAUUUGCUCAUGUCUCUUAAGGAAUGGUCAGCUGAUGAAAAACCUCCAAAAGAUAUGGUUAACAUAAUGGACAGAGUUGAAAUUAAGAAAGAUCCAUAUGGUGUGGUUCUUAUUAUGGGACCAUGGAAUUAUCCUUUCCAAUUAAUUAUGGCUCCUUUAGCAGGUGCAUUAGCUGCUGGAAAUUGUAUUAUUGUUAAACCAUCAGAAAUAUCCUCUGCUACAGCAAAACUUAUUGCAGAUAUUAUUCCAAAAUAUUUAGAUCAAGAAUGUAUUCAUGUAAUAUUAGGAGGUAUUUCUGAAACAACAGAAUUACUUAAGCAAAGAUUCGAUUAUAUCUUUUAUACGGGUUCAUCUAGUGUUGGAAAAAUCAUUCAUCAAGCAGCAAAUAAAUUUUUAACGCCGAUAACAUUAGAACUUGGUGGUAAAAGCCCUGUAUAUAUAGAUAAUACAGUAGAUAUGGACAUAACUGUGAAAAGAGUACUUUGGGGCAAAUGUGUUAAUGCUGGACAAACAUGUAUUGCACCUGAUUAUAUACUUUGUUCUGAAGAAAUUCAAAAUAAAUUUGUAACAAAGGCAAGAGAAAUUCUAAAAGAUUGGUAUGGUAAUAAUCCAAAAGAAAGUCCAGAUUUAUCACGUAUAAUUAAUGAACAUCAUUAUCAGCGUCUCAUCAAGUAUUUAAAUAAUGGUAGAAUAGUGAUAGGUGGUGACUGUGAUCCUAAUGAAAAAUAUAUCUCUCCAACUAUUCUUGUUGAUAUCAAAUCUACAGAUCCUGUGAUGCAAGAUGAAAUAUUUGGUCCAAUAUUACCAAUCAUAAAUGUGAAUAAUGCUUAUGAAGCAAUUAAAUUUAUAAAUAAUCGUGAAUCCCCACUCGUAAUAUAUAUAUUUUCCAAGGACAGGGGAGUUCAGGAUUUAAUAAUAAAUCAAACUCGUAGUGGAAGCGUAGGAGUAAAUGAUACAAUAAUGCAAUAUUGUGGGAGAAGCCAUUAGCAUUAUACAUAUUUAGCACUGAUGAAAAUACUAUAUCAAUAUUUCUCAACAAUACAAGUAGUGGUAAUGCUUGUGUUAAUGAUGUAAUAAUGCAUGCAACAGUUGACAGUAUACCAUUUGGUGGUGUUGGCAAUUCUGGUAUGGGAUGUUAUCAUGGAAAAUAUACUUAUGAUACCUUUGUACACAAAAAAGGUUGUCUUAUUAAAUAUUUUAAUAAACUAGAAGAAGCAUU